Molecule: transfer RNA, 72 nt
Filed under: Chitinimonas viridis
Lineage: Bacteria; Pseudomonadati; Pseudomonadota; Betaproteobacteria; Neisseriales; Chitinibacteraceae
Description: tRNA-OTHER
Rfam family: tRNA
About the family: Transfer RNA (tRNA) molecules are approximately 80 nucleotides in length. Their secondary structure includes four short double-helical elements and three loops (D, anti-codon, and T loops).
Source: RNAcentral
GUGGAUGUAGCUCAAUCGGUAGAGCGCGACCCAAUGUGGUCGAGGCCGUGGGUUCGAAUCCCACCUUCCGCG